RNAcentral lists this long non-coding RNA (1368 nucleotides) under Oryctolagus cuniculus (rabbit). RNAcentral describes it as "lncRNA (ENSOCUG00000035032.1)". Lineage: Eukaryota; Metazoa; Chordata; Mammalia; Lagomorpha; Leporidae. The record is from RNAcentral.
UGAUUUUGAAAGAGGCUCAUCCACACCCAUGGAAAGCUGAUGAUUGAUUUUGAUGAUGAGAUGAUGGGAUAAUGACUAGGACAGGCAAUGCUCUACCAAUCAUUGUUCAUCUGAUCUUGUAACCAAGGUACAUACUUUAACUUUGGUCAAUUUGUGCUUGAGAAAUAUAGAAAAGUUAGCUGACCCAAUAACAAUUUGGACUUCAGACACUAAAUAACCAACUGAGUGGCUCACCUACCACUGAUACGCAAACUACUGGCUACAAAGUGAGCUGAAAGACUACAUUAAAUUCAGUCACUGUUUACCGGAAUUCUAGUAAUUUGGCCUUUAGGAUGCAAGAAUAUAGAUAGACAUGGGUGAGAUGUAGCCCUUGUCUUUAAAGAGAUUGCAUCUACCUAUUCCACAAGACGGAAAGUGAUGUUUUUGAAAAGAAAUUUAAGAGAAUGACUAUCAGAAUGAAAGGAGGGAGAAAGAGAAAGAUUUGUUUUCCUUUGAAAGCUACAUACCCAUACCCCUCCAGUGUUUAGGAAGGUUCUGGUUUCUGUAUGCAUGUCUUGAUAUUGGUAGAUAUACCCAUUUUUAUGGAAUUAAGAACAAUUUUAUGACUGUAGUAUAACAGUUUUUUGUUGAUUUCCUUUUCUCUCAAUAUUUCUACUCUUGAACAUUCUCUCUUUUUCCUCUCAAAGUAACAUAUAUAUGAGAUUUUAAAAAGUAUAUGGAAAUGUGUAGUAAGAAAAAGAAUGCAUGGGUUUUGACAUUUUCUUCACUGAAAUAAGCUUAACUUUUAAUUCUAUUUUUCAUUAUAGGUGAAAUACCAGAUUCCACUGCACAUCAGGAAGAUGAGCAGAAUUUAUGUAAUACCCUGGAUUCUGGAAAGCUCAUUAAACUUAAUAAGUAAAGGACAAAAAUAAUUCAUCAGCAUUUGAUGGUUGGUGGUUUGAGGGAUUCUUUGGGUGCUUAGGAUGUUGGAAAAGCAUAUGAGGUAAAAGAACCCAAAAAUGUAACAAAUGUUAAUAAGAAGUAUAAAUGGCUAUUGAAAGCUGAGGAUAUUGAGGAAACAAACCUAUCCAGACUCAGUAUGAAUAUCCAACCAAGUAAGCAAAUGUUUCAAAGCCUUUUACUUUAUUUAUUUACUUUUACUUUAUUUAUUUAGAGAAUUACUUUUUGGGGCAUUUAUAUCCCAUACCUCUUUCAAAUGGUAAAUGUUGAAGAUUAAAUGUUUUGAUUAUAAUAGAACUUAAUUUAUCGAAAGGAAACUUCUUGAAAUUGUGAAAACUCUUCAUGAAGAUUUCUGUCCCUAUUAACAUUAGACUACAUCUACAACGGAAAAAAUCUUAAUGUGUUUAAUGAAGACCAACGUGCAUUUUC